Molecule: long non-coding RNA, 928 nt
Filed under: Homo sapiens (human)
Lineage: Eukaryota; Metazoa; Chordata; Mammalia; Primates; Hominidae
Description: HSALNT0099109
Source: RNAcentral
AUCUUGCCCGUGCGUCCGUGGCACGGAACGGCCGUUAGUCCCGGCAGAGGGCUCCGCGAAGACAGUGCCGUCGUUGGGCGCGCGCGCGGGCGGGAGCUGUCGGGGCGGGGCGGCACCGCCGAGCUCCGAGCUGUGAGGACCGCCCCGGGCCUUGGGCGGGGCGGGGGCCAGGGAAGGGCGUGCGCAGGAUUGGGGAGCACGUUUUGCGUCUUGCUGUGCGUGAGGAAGCGGGGAUCCAGGUCAAGGCUAUGGAAAGGUCAGGGAAGGGUGUCAGUGCGCCCGUCCUGCAGGGAGUCCAGAUCCGAGAGGCAGGACUUUGAAAUGACCCUGUCCUCAGCCUGGAGGAUGCGGUAUUCUGAUUGUCUGGUGCUGUGUCAACUGGGCCUGCCUCUGGGAUAGUGUUGUGGCUGCCCCACGAGAACCCUAUAUGCCAGGUGAGCUUGAAGCACCUCAGAGACAGAGCACUGAAGCUCCAUGACACAGGGCUAUUCAGCUAUCAUUGCCCCUGUUUGCCAGCACCUCUGUCUAAAUAACUUGUGUGGGACAGAAUUAGGUCCGAGUCUGGUAUUCUGUUCAUCUAGCCUGGUAGCCAGGUAGUGAGAGAAGAAACCUGUGGCCCUUGUCUAAAUAUGAGGUGGUCAGUAUUUAACAACAAAUCAACAAUAGGGUAUGACCAGACUGACUUGGGUCUGUUUGCAACACCUGAACCUUAUGCACAUGCUCAUAAAUGCCCUCUCCAAAAUACACACACACACCCCCAAGAAAGGUGAGAUACAAAUACACACUCCUCCCACACAGAAACAUGCAUGCUCAUUCACUCUGGCAGAAACCCUGAUCACACUUACGCUCCUGCACUCAGAUCUAGGGAGUAGAAAAUGGGCCAAGCCAACUCCAAAGACAGCUCAUAGUUUCAUUUUCAUCUCCUCAC